Molecule: ribosomal RNA, 673 nt
Filed under: alpha proteobacterium IMCC14965
Lineage: Bacteria; Pseudomonadati; Pseudomonadota; Alphaproteobacteria
Description: bacterial SSU rRNA
Rfam family: Bacterial small subunit ribosomal RNA
Source: RNAcentral
ACGAACCGCUGGCGGCAGGCCUAACACAUGCAAGUCGAGCGCACCUUCGGGUGAGCGGCGGACGGGUUAGUAACGCGUGGGAACGUACCCUUUUCUACGGAAUAGCCUUUGGAAACGAAGAGUAAUACCGUAUACGCCCUUUGGGGGAAAGAUUUAUCGGAGAAGGAUCGGCCCGCGUUAGAUUAGAUAGUUGGUGGGGUAACGGCCUACCAAGUCUACGAUCUAUAGCUGGUUUUAGAGGAUGAUCAGCAACACUGGGACUGAGACACGGCCCAGACUCCUACGGGAGGCAGCAGUGGGGAAUCUUAGACAAUGGGCGCAAGCCUGAUCUAGCCAUGCCGCGUGAGUGAUGAAGGCCUUAGGGUCGUAAAGCUCUUUCGCCUGUGAUGAUAAUGACAGUAGCAGGUAAAGAAACCCCGGCUAACUCCGUGCCAGCAGCCGCGGUAAUACGGAGGGGGUUAGCGUUGUUCGGAAUUACUGGGCGUAAAGCGCACGUAGGCGGAUUGGAAAGUUGGGGGUGAAAUCCCGGGGCUCAACCCCGGAACUGCCUCCAAAACUAUCAGUCUAGAGUUCGAGAGAGGUGAGUGGAAUUCCAAGUGUAGAGGUGAAAUUCGUAGAUAUUUGGAGGAACACCAGUGGCGAAGGCGGCUCACUGGCUCGAUACUGACGCUGA